RNAcentral lists this ribosomal RNA (253 nucleotides) under uncultured bacterium. Its description in RNAcentral is "partial 16S ribosomal RNA". It matches the Rfam family "Bacterial small subunit ribosomal RNA", at positions 524 to 776 of the family's 1533-position model. The record is from RNAcentral.
UACAGAGGGGGCAAGCGUUGUUCGGAAUUACUGGGCGUAAAGGGCGCGUAGGCGGCCUUCUAAGUCGAACGUGAAAUCCCUGGGCUCAACCCAGGAACUGCGUCCGAGACUGAAAGGCUUGAAUCCGGGAGAGGGAUGUGGAAUUCCAGGUGUAGCGGUGAAAUGCGUAGAUAUCUGGAGGAACAUCGGUGGCGAAGGCGGCAUCCUGGACCGGUAUUGACGCUGAGGCGCGAAAGCCAGGGGAGCAAACGGG